AGGGUUUGAUUAUGGCUCAGGAUGAACGCUAGCGACAGGCUUAACACAUGCAAGUCGAGGGGCAGCACAGGUAGCAAUACCGGGUGGCGACCGGCGCACGGGUGAGUAACGCGUAUGCAACUUACCUAUCAGAGGGGGAUAACCCGGCGAAAGUCGGACUAAUACCGCAUGAAGCAGGGGCCCCGCAUGGGGAUAUUUGCUAAAGAUUCAUCGCUGAUAGAUAGGCAUGCGUUCCAUUAGGCAGUUGGCGGGGUAACGGCCCACCAAACCGACGAUGGAUAGGGGUUCUGAGAGGAAGGUCCCCCACAUUGGUACUGAGACACGGACCAA
RNAcentral lists this ribosomal RNA (330 nucleotides) under uncultured bacterium. RNAcentral describes it as "bacterial SSU rRNA". It matches the Rfam family "Bacterial small subunit ribosomal RNA", at positions 8 to 334 of the family's 1533-position model. The record is from RNAcentral.